AUUGAACGCUGGCGGCAGGCCUAACACAUGCAAGUCGAACGGAAACAGGAAGCAGCUUGCUGCUUUGCUGACGAGUGGCGGGGGGGUGAGAAAUGUCUGUGAAACUGCUCUAUGGAGGGGGAUAACUACUGGAAACGGUAGCUAAUACCGCAUAACGACGCAAGACCAAAGAGCGGGAGCUUAGGGCGGCUUGCCAUCGGCUGUGCCCAGGUGGGAUUAGCUAGUAGGUGGGGUAACGGCUCACCGAGGCGACGAUCCCUAGCUGGUCUGAGAGGGUGAACAGCCACACUGGAACUGAGACACGGUCCAGACUCCUACGGGAGGCAGCAGUGGGGAAUCUUGCACAAUGGGCGCAAGCCUGAUGCAGCCAUGCCGCGUGUAUGAAGAAGGCCUUCGGGUUGUAAAGUUCUUUCAGCGGGGAGGAAGGGAGUAAAGUUAAUACCUUUGCUCAUUGACGUUACCCGCAGAAGAAGCACCGGCUAACUCCGUG
This 490-nucleotide ribosomal RNA is filed under the name uncultured bacterium. Its description in RNAcentral is "partial 16S ribosomal RNA". It matches the Rfam family "Bacterial small subunit ribosomal RNA", at positions 30 to 507 of the family's 1533-position model. The record is from RNAcentral.